RNAcentral lists this ribosomal RNA (374 nucleotides) under uncultured bacterium. RNAcentral's name for it is "bacterial SSU rRNA". It matches the Rfam family "Bacterial small subunit ribosomal RNA", at positions 28 to 403 of the family's 1533-position model. The record is from RNAcentral.
GACGAACGCUGGCGGCGUGCUUAACACAUGCAAGUCGAGCGGUAAGGCCCUUUCGGGGGUACACGAGCGGCGAACGGGUGAGUAACACGUGGGUGACCUGCCCUUAGCUCUGGGAUAAGCCUGGGAAACUGGGUCUAAUACCGGAUAUGACUCCAUGACGCAUGUUGUGGGGUGGAAAGCCUUGUGCGGCUAGGGAUGGGCCCGCGGCCUAUCAGCUUGUUGGUGGGGUGAUGGCCCACCAAGGCGACGACGGGUAGCCGGCCUGAGAGGGCGACCGGCCACACUGGGACUGAGACACGGCCCAGACUCCUACGGGAGGCAGCAGUGGGGAAUCUUGCGCAAUGGGCGAAAGCCUGACGCAGCGACGCCGCGUG